AAACUGCGAAUGGCUCAUUAAAUCAGUUAUCGUUUAUUUGAUAGUACCUUACUACAUGGAUAACCGUGGUAAUUCUAGAGCUAAUACAUGCUAAAAAUCCCGACUUCGGAAGGGAUGUAUUUAUUAGAUUAAAAACCAAUGCCCUUCGGGGCUCUCUGGUGAUUCAUAAUAACUUCUCGAAUCGCACGGCCUUGCGCCGGCGAUGGUUCAUUCAAAUUUCUGCCCUAUCAACUUUCGACGGCUGGGUCUUGGCCAGCCGUGGUGACAACGGGUAACGGAGGGUUAGGGCUCGACCCCGGAGAAGGAGCCUGAGAAACGGCUACUACAUCCAAGGAAGGCAGCAGGCGCGCAAAUUACCCAAUCCCGACACGGGGAGGUAGUGACAAUAAAUACUGAUACAGGGCUCUUUCGGGUCUUGUAAUUGGAAUGAGUACAAUUUAAAUCCCUUAACGAGGAACAAUUGGAGGGCAAGUCUGGUGCCAGCAGCCGCGGUAAUUCCAGCUCCAAUAGCGUAUAUUAAAGUUGUUGAGGUUAAAAAGCUCGUAGUUGAACCUUGGGCCUAGCCGGCCGGUCCGCCUCACCGCGUGCACUGGCUCGGCUGGGUCUUUCCUUCUGGAGAACCGCAUGCCCUUCACUGGGCGUGCCGGGGAACCAGGACUUUUACUCUGAAUAAAUUAGAUCGCUUAAAGAAGGCCUAUGCUCGAAUACAUUAGCAUGGAAUAAUAGAAUAGGACGUGUGGUUCUAUUUUGUUGGUUUCUAGGACCGCCGUAAUGAUUAAUAGGGACAGUCGGGGGCAUCAGUAUUCAAUUGUCAGAGGUGAAAUUCUUGGAUUUAUUGAAGACUAACUACUGCGAAAGCAUUUGCCAAGGAUGUUUUCAUUAAUCAGGAACGAAAGUUAGGGGAUCGAAGACGAUCAGAUACCGUCGUAGUCUUAACCAUAAACUAUGCCGAUUAGGGAUCGGACGGCGUUAUUUUUUGACCCGUUCGGCACCUUACGAUAAAUCAAAAUGUU
This 1013-nucleotide ribosomal RNA is filed under the name Collariella quadrum. RNAcentral's name for it is "SSU rRNA". It matches the Rfam family "Eukaryotic small subunit ribosomal RNA", at positions 84 to 1107 of the family's 1831-position model. Lineage: Eukaryota; Fungi; Ascomycota; Sordariomycetes; Sordariales; Chaetomiaceae. The record is from RNAcentral.